AGCGGAGGGACAUUACCGAGUUUACAACUCCCAAACCCAAUGUGAACCAUACCAAACUGUUGCCUCGGCGGGGUCACGCCCCGGGUGCGUCGCAGCCCCGGAACCAGGCGCCCGCCGGAGGGACCAACCAAACUCUUUCUGUAGUCCCCUCGCGGACGUUAUUUCUUACAGCUCUGAGCAAAAAUUCAAAAUGAAUCAAAACUUUCAACAACGGAUCUCUUGGUUCUGGCAUCGAUGAAGAACGCAGCGAAAUGCGAUAAGUAAUGUGAAUUGCAGAAUUCAGUGAAUCAUCGAAUCUUUGAACGCACAUUGCGCCCGCCAGUAUUCUGGCGGGCAUGCCUGUCCGAGCGUCAUUUCAACCCUCGAACCCCUCCGGGGGGUCGGCGUUGGGGAUCGGGAACCCCUAAGACGGGAUCCCGGCCCCGAAAUACAGUGGCGGUCUCGCCGCAGCCUCUCCUGCGCAGUAGUUUGCACAACUCGCACCGGGAGCGCGGCGCGUCCACGUCCGUAAAACACCCAACUUCUGAAAUGUUGACCUCGGAUCAGGUAGGAAUACCCGCUGAACUUAAGCAUAU
This 575-nucleotide ribosomal RNA is filed under the name Trichoderma koningiopsis. RNAcentral's name for it is "eukaryotic LSU rRNA". The stretch from base 200 to 353 matches the Rfam family "5.8S ribosomal RNA". Lineage: Eukaryota; Fungi; Ascomycota; Sordariomycetes; Hypocreales; Hypocreaceae. The record is from RNAcentral.